AAAGGCCUUAGGAACUCGAGUGAA
Molecule: non-coding RNA, 24 nt
Filed under: Arabidopsis thaliana (thale cress)
Lineage: Eukaryota; Viridiplantae; Streptophyta; Magnoliopsida; Brassicales; Brassicaceae
Source: RNAcentral